ACGCACGCUGGCGGCGUGCUUAACAUAUGCCAGUCGAACGGAAGGGCCCUGCUUUUGUGGGGUGCUCGAGUGGCGAACGGGUGAGUAACACGUGAGUAACCUGCCCUUGACUUUGGGAUAACUUCAGGAAACUGGGGCUAAUACCGGAUAGGAGCUCCUGCUGCAUGGUGGGGGUUGGAAAGUUUCGGCGGUUGGGGAUGGACUCGCGGCUUAUCAGCUUGUUGGUGGGGUAGUGGCUUACCAAGGCUUUGACGGGUAGCCGGCCUGAGAGGGUGACCGGCCACAUUGGGACUGAGAUACGGCCCAGACUCCUACGGGAGGCAGCAGUGGGGAAUAUUGCACAAUGGGCGGAAGCCUGAUGCAGCAACGCCGCGUGCGGGAUGACGGCCUUCGGGUUGUAAACCGCUUUCGCCUGUGACGAAGCGUGAGUGACGGUAAUGGGUAAAGAAGCACCGGCUAACUACGUG
RNAcentral lists this ribosomal RNA (467 nucleotides) under uncultured bacterium. RNAcentral describes it as "partial 16S ribosomal RNA". It matches the Rfam family "Bacterial small subunit ribosomal RNA", at positions 29 to 507 of the family's 1533-position model. The record is from RNAcentral.